UCAAGUUUGACCCACAGGAGUGUGCUCUUCUGAGCUGAGAAGCUCCUUCAAUGCAGUACAGAAUUAAACAUUAAUCCAGUGUUUAUUCAGUCUGUGAAGAUCUUUCUAUAUUACACUAAGUCAAUAAAGAUUCCUGAUAAGCUACAUCUUUCAUUACAGAAAAUUUUAUUUAUGUAUGAAUAUAAGAUACAUACUGUAGACCCAACACAAAGAUAUUUGUUGUUGCCACAGGGUGGAGCUCUGAGGCCUGAUGUUAAACAGCAGCUCGAGCUAAAUGUGACUGACUCAAGGUUGAGUUUGACACUUCAAGCUUUCAGACUACUGAACAGUGACCAUGUUUACUGUUGUCUUCAUUGUAUUUUCACUGCUUAAGGAAAGUGCUGAUGCAUAUACAAUAGAAUCUCUCUUACCAGAACAGCAUGUUUCAGUUGGACAAAGUGCUGUUAUCUCUUGCAAAUACAGUGGCAUUGGGCCCAGCUUUCAGUGGUACCGCCAAUAUCCAGGAUCCAGACCUGAGUACCUUAUUUUUAAUGCAGAGACCGGCGUUUCUUCCGAACACACUUUACGUCUCAAAGCACAGGCUAAAAAAGAGAUCACAGAAGUGGAACUGGAGAUCUCCUCUACUGAAGUCAAAGACUCUGCUGUAUAUUACUGUGCCCUGAGGCCCACAGUGACAGGAAACCCACCUGCUCUGUACAAAAACUUAAUACAUUAACACAUCUUGCAUUACACAAACAUUGUGAGACACCAGCUUCCAAUCAACCAUAACAGAUCAAUGAUGCAACUGUUCUUAUUUUUCCAAAUGUAAAGAAACAAUGUUAGG
Non-coding RNA from Cyprinus carpio (common carp), 823 nucleotides. NCBI's taxonomy places the organism in Eukaryota, Metazoa, Chordata, Actinopteri, Cypriniformes, Cyprinidae. The record is from the annotation of a RefSeq genome assembly.